ACAGGAUUAGCCGAAAACCUGUAUAAGAGAGUAGGCG
RNAcentral lists this non-coding RNA (37 nucleotides) under unclassified sequences. RNAcentral's name for it is "DUF805b RNA". It matches the Rfam family "DUF805b RNA". Rfam says of the family: Bacteroidetes, Chlorobi (1 example), Proteobacteria. Lineage (Flavobacteria) The record is from RNAcentral.